Molecule: long non-coding RNA, 369 nt
Filed under: Triticum aestivum (bread wheat)
Lineage: Eukaryota; Viridiplantae; Streptophyta; Magnoliopsida; Poales; Poaceae
Description: long non-coding RNA (TAES_LNC023473)
Source: RNAcentral
UCUGUCUCGGUGGUGCGUCAGACAUCGUCGGAGGGCGUGAGGUGUGUCUCCGAUGGAUCUCAUGGAAUUCAGUCGGUGUUUGUGUUUGGUGGAUCCACAUGGAUUUGGUCUUCAUUCAUUUGCGUUCGUGUGUCUACGGAUUGGAACCUUCUGAUCUAGGCUUCUCUUCAUCGACGACGUUUGUUGUUCUGGUUCUUUGGGGCCUUAGCACGCCGACUUCCUGGUUGUCUACCACAACAAGGCUUGCUCGGCUCCUGCGAAGGAGCAAUGAUGAUGGCGGCGUGCAUUUGUCUCGCUUCAGUGUUUGUAUUCCUCGGUAGGUGGUCUACGGACAUUGCUGUAAUUUUUAUUACUUUUGAUGAAUAAAUU